RNAcentral lists this ribosomal RNA (460 nucleotides) under uncultured bacterium. Its description in RNAcentral is "partial 16S ribosomal RNA". It matches the Rfam family "Bacterial small subunit ribosomal RNA", at positions 338 to 795 of the family's 1533-position model. The record is from RNAcentral.
CCUACGGGGGGUAGCAGUGAGGAAUAUUGGUCAAUGGCCGAGAGUCUGAACCAGCCAAGUAGCGUGAAGGAUGACUGCCCUAUGGGUUGUAAACUUCUUUUAUAUGGGAAUAAAAUGUUCCACGUGUGGGUUUUUGUAUGUACCUUAUGAAUAAGGAUCGGCUAACUCCGUGCCAGCAGCCGCGGUAAUACGGAGGAUCCGAGCGUUAUCCGGAUUUAUUGGGUUUAAAGGGUGCGUAGGUGGAUUGUUAAGUCAGUUGUGAAAGUUUGCGGCUCAACCGUAAAAUUGCAGUUGAAACUGGCAGUCUUGAGUAGAGGAGAGGUGGGCGGAAUGCGUAGUGUAGCGGUGAAAUGCUUAGAUAUCGCGAAGAACUCCGAUUGCGAAGGCAGCUCACUGGAGGACAACUGACACUGAGGCUCGAAAGUGUGGGUAUCAAACAGGAUUAGAUACCCGUGUAGUC